GGGAGAGAAGAAAUUGGUUCCUGGUAAAUACACUGUUGUAACCAGUUAUAAUAAAGGCAACUCAAAUGGCUUGAUCCUGAACAGUGGAGAGGUAGUUCAGCUAAUCCAUGAAGGAGCAGAUGGUCUUUGGUAUCUUAGGAAUUUGAGCACAAACAAAGAAGGAUGGGUUCCUAUCAACAUUUUGAUACCGUUACUCAGCAACUCAAAAUCUAUUUUCUCUCUCAGCAGCUCAGAAUCUACAGCGGGUUCAAGUACACUGAGUUCAUCUUCAAGUUGUAGUGAAAGUUGCAAUGUCAGUAGUAGCACUUUCUCAGAUACUAAAGGUUAAAUUGAAAAUUCCACCACAACUCUCUGAAGAUUUAAAACUGCCAAUGUGACUAUCAGAUGUUAAAGAAGUAAAGAAGCAUCAUAAUUGCACAUCUCUCAGUUGUUCCUCUUGUGUGUAAAGAUGGUUUAGUGGGUAUUCUUGAAGAACCUGAAUAUGUUGGUAACGGAUUAGUGGGAAUAACACUUUUGGAAGCUGCAUCAUAGAAACCUAUCACUCUUCGAGAAUGAAAUGGACCUUGGCAUGGAUAACCUGGGAAGAAUAUUACCAGCAGCUAGUAGUUUCCAUUGUGUAAAUCUGACUAGUUAAAAC
Protobothrops mucrosquamatus (brown spotted pit viper) is the source of this 637-nucleotide long non-coding RNA. RefSeq lists it as uncharacterized. The transcript has 4 exons. The record is from RefSeq and is a predicted model, not a curated record. Lineage: Eukaryota; Metazoa; Chordata; Lepidosauria; Squamata; Viperidae.